Non-coding RNA from Bombina bombina (fire-bellied toad), 71 nucleotides. NCBI's taxonomy places the organism in Eukaryota, Metazoa, Chordata, Amphibia, Anura, Bombinatoridae. The record is from the annotation of a RefSeq genome assembly.
GCAUUGGUGGUUCAGUGGUAGAAUUCUCGCCUGCUAUGCGGGAAGUCUGGGUUCUACUCCCGGCUAAUGCA